RNAcentral lists this ribosomal RNA (254 nucleotides) under uncultured bacterium. RNAcentral's name for it is "partial 16S ribosomal RNA". It matches the Rfam family "Bacterial small subunit ribosomal RNA", at positions 524 to 776 of the family's 1533-position model. The record is from RNAcentral.
UACGUAGGGUGCGAGCGUUGUCCGGAAUUACUGGGCGUAACGGGCUCGUAGGUGGCCAACUAAGUCAGACGUGAAAUCCCUCGGCUUAACCGGGGAACUGCGUCUGAUACUGGAUGGCUUGAGAUUGGGAGAGGGAUGCGGAAUUCCAGGUGUAGCGGUGAAAUGCGUAGAUAUCUGGAGGAACACCGGUGGCGAAGGCGGCAUCCUGGACCAACACUGACGCUGAGGGAGCGAAAGCCAGGGGAGCAAACGGG